This 255-nucleotide ribosomal RNA is filed under the name uncultured bacterium. RNAcentral's name for it is "partial 16S ribosomal RNA". It matches the Rfam family "Bacterial small subunit ribosomal RNA", at positions 524 to 776 of the family's 1533-position model. The record is from RNAcentral.
UACGUAGGGUGCGAGCGUUGUCCGGAAUUAUUGGGCGUAAAGAGCUUGUAGGCGGUUUGUCGCGUCUGCCGUGAAAGCCCAGGGCUUAACCCUGGGUCUGCGGUGGGUACGGGCAGACUAGAGUGUGGUAGGGGGAGACUGGAAUUCCUGGUGUAGCGGUGAAAUGCGCAGAUAUCAGGAGGAACACCGAUGGCGAAGGCAGGUCUCUGGGCCACUACUGACGCUGAGAAGCGAAAGCAUGGGGGAGCGAACAGG